Molecule: transfer RNA, 85 nt
Organism: Halodesulfurarchaeum formicicum
Lineage: Archaea; Methanobacteriati; Methanobacteriota; Halobacteria; Halobacteriales; Halobacteriaceae
Rfam family: tRNA
About the family: Transfer RNA (tRNA) molecules are approximately 80 nucleotides in length.
Source: Rfam
GCAGGGGUAGCCGAGUCAGGCCAAAGGCGCAGCGUUCAGGGCGCUGUCCCGUAGGGGUUCGCAGGUUCAAAUCCUGCUCCCUGCA